UGAAGCUAUGUUGACAUCUGUGCUCAGAGAAGCUAUGUUGACAUAUGUAAUCAGAGAUCAUGAUGGAGUCUAUUGUUCCUAUUGCUGAUGGAGACCCUGGUGAUGUCUAUGAUCUAUGCAGCUUCCAGAGGUCAUGCUGGAUUCCAAGGUCCAUAUUGAUACUUGAGGUCAUAUUGAGGUAAGUGCUCUUAUGUGGCACUGGAGAUCAGAUUGAUGUCUGAGAUCCUACCUGCCACAGGAAAUUCUGUUGAUGUCCCUGGUGCAUGCAUGUUGCAUCCACUGCCAUCCAUAAACUGUACAAUAUUCUUACUACCACCACUACCACCAGAAUAGCUAGUGAUGGUGAUCUUGUCACUGGAGAAGAGGUUUAUGACCAUAAUUUGUUCUGCCUAUACAUAUACAUAUGCAUAUGCAUAUGCACAUGCACAUGCACAUGCACCUGCACAUGCACAUACACUUACACACACACACACACACACACACACACACACACACACACAUACAUAUACAUAUACAUAUAUACAUAUACACAUACACUUACACUUACACAUACACUUACAUAUACAUACAUACAUAUAUAUUCAUACAUACAUACAUACAUACAUACAUACACACACACAUUAUAUAUAUCUUGCAGUUGACAUCAUGGUAAUGCCCAUGAUCAUUGUUUCCAAUGGCAACCUUAUUGUCAGUGAUCCCAUCUGCCACUGGGAACCAUGUUAAUGUCACUGAUGCACAGGGACUGCAGAAACGUGCAUGAUGUGAAUCCUACAUGCUGCCUGUAGUAGCCGUGUUAUAAUCCAUAGUCAGUGUUGCUCCUGGAGACACUUGUGCAUGUUAAGAAUUCCUGAGACCAUCAGAAUCUACAAUGAAGUUCAGGCCAUAGUGCUGUCUUGGGUCGCGCUGAGUUACAUGUUCUGAGAUAUGCUGAAAGUCAUAUAUAGAGUGGCAUCAGAUACCACUGUAUGUCCAUAUUUGAGGCGUCUGGUAGCCAAUGUCAGUGAUCCCUGCUGACUCUUGUGGCCACAUUAAUAUGACUCUCAUUCACUGACAAUGGACUCUCUACUGAUGUCUGUUAUCUCUGUUUCUAAGAAGCUUAUUGCAUUCAUAAGCAGUUUAAUGUAAGGAUGCAUCCUGCAACCAGAAAAGAGUCUUUUCUACAUGGUCAUACCUGCCCUCUGAAAGGAGUUUGAUGUCCCUUGUACUUCCUGGGAAUGGAAACCAUGUUAUAUCACAGACCCCUGAUGCCACAGACAAACAGAUCAGGAGUUAUCCCUACUCCUGCUUUGGAUCAGAUCGAUGACAUCUGUGAUCCCAACGUCCGAGGGAAAUGUAUUGACAUUGCUGAUCCAUGCUGUCACUGGUACCCAUGUUGACAUUCAUGGUCUGUGUGGUCAUCGAAAAGCUACCCGAUGUCUUUGAUAAACAACCAGAGGAAACUAUUGUGAAGUCUGUGGUAAGUAUUGCUUCCUAAGAACAUAAUGAGGUAAGUGUUGUUUGCUGCUACUGGAGAUGGCUUUGAUGCCUGUGAUCCCAGCUGCAACCUGAAUAUAUGUUGAUGUCAGUGCUGUAUGCUGUGACCAGCAAUCGUGAUGGACUCAUUGCCCCUGUUGCUGAUGGAGAUCGUGGUGAUGGCUAUGAUCUCUGUUACGGCUUGAGAAGCUGUUGAAAUCAAGGUUUAUACUGAUGCUGGAGGUCAUGUUGAGGUCAGUGUUCUGAGCUGACACAGUAGAUUGAUUGGAUUGAUGUUUGAGAGUCUAUAUGCUAUAGAAAAUUCUGUUGAUGUCCCUGAUGCAUGCAUUUCACACCUGCUCUCAACCAUGUGAUGUACAGGGUUGUUACUGCUCCAAGAACUGUCCUGUCAAGGAUCAAUCCUGCCACUGGAAAAGAGGUUAAUGACCAAAAUUUAUUCUGCCCCUUUAAUCUAUGCUGACGCCAUUGAUAUAUAGGUGGCAAUAAACACCAUUGUGUUGCCCAAGGUACAUGCUGUCAUUGACCCCCUUGUUGUCAGUGGUCCCUGAUACUACUCAGUAUGUUAAUGUCACUACUUCAAAGUGCCUGCAGAAACUGAUAUCCAUUAACCAUGCUGUCUCCAGUAGUCCUGUUUAAACCCAGAGUCCAUGAUGCUUCUGAUGAGAUUUUUAAUGUCCAGGAUCCCUGGGGCCAGCAGAACAUAAGGUGAAGCUUCAGGUCAUACUGGUCCUCCAGCUCAUGUUGAGUUCCAUGUUCUAUGUCUUAUAGAGGUCACAUAUAUGGUGGCAAAAUGCACCAUUGUAUGUCCAUGGUACUUCAGGCCUCCAAACAGCUAUGAUUUCAGUGGUCCCCGCUGCCUUAUGAGGCAACAUAAAAGAGUGUCUCCAACUGCCAGUGGCAUCUAUACUGAUAUCAGUUAUCCAUCAUUGUUCUGCUCAAUGAGACCUUACUCUUUAUGAGAAGUGUGUUGUCAGCUGUAAAACUUUUGAUGUCCAGGAUCCAUCUAGACACUAGAGUUGAGAUUUCUGAACAUGGUCAUUCCUGCCCUCUGGAAUAUCCUGGUGGCCCUGAUACUUCCUGGCAGCAGACAAGAUGGUGUAUCUCAGAUCCAUGCUGCCAUAGUCAACCAGGUCCUGAGUGAGCCAUACUGCUACUUUGGACCAGUUGAUGACAUCAGAGAUCCCAACUGCCAAGUUAAAUGUAUUGACAUCACUUAUCCACAAUGCAACUAGUAACCAUGUUGAGAUCCCUAGAUAGUUUGGUCUUUGAAGAGUUCCGUGCUGUCUGUGAUCCUGUAGCCAGAAGGGUCUAUUGUGAAGUCCAUGGUCAGUACUGCUCCUAUGGUCAUAAGGAGGUAAGUGCUGUAGGCUGUUACUGGAGAUACCUUUGGCACAUGUGAUCAUAGCUGAAACUUUCUAUGCUGAUCAGUGCUGCGUGAUUUGACCAGUGAUCAGGAUGGAUUCCACUGUUUUCUAUUGCGGAUGGAGACCCCGGUCAUGGCUAUGAUCUCUGCUGAUACUUGAGGACACGCUGAAUUUAUAGGUCCAUAUUGACAGUAGAAACCAUAUUGAGGUACGUGUUCUGAGUUGUCACUGGAGAUCACAUUGAUAUAUGAGAUCCCACCUGCCACUAGAAAUUCCGUUGAUGUCCCUGAUGCAUGCAUGUAGCCCCUGCUUUGGACCAUGAGUUCACUGAUAGAUCCUGAGAAGGAACACCAUUGUUUGUUUAUACCCUCCGAUGCUACAUGCGGCAAUGUUCUCAGUGGUCCUUUCUCCGACUUGGGACAUGAGUGAUUGUAACUCUCAUUGGAACCUAUACUGAUGUUAGUGAUGCAUACAUGUCACCUGUGAGAAUGUUCUUUAUGAGAAGUAUACUCUUAGCUGUAAUAAUUUUGAAGUCCACGAUCCAUCCUGACACUAUAUAUGUGAUUUUUGUUCAUGGUCCUUUCUGACCUCUGAAACUAUCAUGAUGUUCCUGCUAUUUCCUGGCAAUAGAUAUACCAUGGCUUAUCCAAGAUCCCCUAUGCCACAGGCAACCAGGAUUUUAGUGAUCCCUAUUGAAACUUUGGACCAGAAUGUGAUAUUAAUUGUCUUAUUUGCUAAGAGAAAUAUAUUGAUUUUACUCAUACAUUGUACCGUUUGUAACCACAUCGAGAUCUGUAGUCAGUGUUGUCUCUGAAGAGCUUGCUGAUGUGUACGAUGACUCUGCCUAGAAGUGUCAGCUGAAAAGCUCACGGUCAGAACUGCUGCCCAAGGUCAUAACGAGGAAGACCCUGUUGAUGGCAAUGACCUGCGUUUCUCCAUGAGAACAGGCUGAAUAUUAAGGUGCAUAUUGAUGUGCAAGGUUAUAUUGAGACCUGGUUAUAAAUAAUACCCUUGCUGCUGCAAGAAGAGGUUUGAUGUAAUCCAUCCCUCCUGCCACAGAGAAGUGAUUUAUGUCCACAAUUACUUCUGCUCUCCGAGUCUACUCUGAUGUCAGGGGUACACUUGUCAGCAGACACCAUACUACAUCUAGAAUCCCCGCUGCCAAUAGCAACCACCAUAGUAGAGGUUCCAUCCUGCUGUAAGAGAAGAGGUUUCUGUCCACGGACCUGUCCUCUGAAACUGCAUCAAUGUCACUGAUACCUCCUGGAAGCAAAGUGUAUCCAAGAUCACGGCUGCCUUGGACCCACCAGCAACCAUCAUGGUGUCCAUCAUUCCUACCUGAGGUCCUACCUGCCACAGGAAACUAAGGGAGGACUAUGUACAGCCCUUGAUGAAGAAUGUUACUUUUACAUCAAUCAUUCAGGAAUAAUAAAGAAUUCUAUGGCUUAAGUUCAAGAUGGACUAGCCAAAAAGAAAAGACAAGAAGGACAGAAUCAGGGAUGGUUUGAGUCCUGAUUCUCCACUUUCUCAUGGCUUACAACUUUAUUUUCUACACUGCUUGGACCAUUAAUUAUAAUCUUGUUGCUUUUAACUUUUGGACCUUGGAUCUUAUACAGAUUGGUUGCCUUCAAACAGGAUCACUUCCAGCAAGCUGAGCAAUUUACCAUGACAGUUAUUCAUCACUAUGAAGAAAUGCAUUAGGUGCAUAUUCACAUGUCCUUUGUGGCUUUAGUCUGAAUGGGAAAGAGUGUGCUAUAGAAUGCAGGUAGUCAAAGAUGGGUAAGAAUGUUCUUGAGCUCCUAUAGACCUAAGACAGAGGAAUACAUCAGUGCAUUGUUUGCACUCCUUGAUGGGUAAUGAGAAGCAAUAUAGACAUGGACCUAAGACAGACAUGGUCUCCUGGCUAGUCUUUACCCUAGGUAGGAUUAUGAAAAUCAAGUAAAUCAUAUCCCCCCCCCCAUUCCAGCUACUGGUACUGCUCAUCUUUAAAAAACAAAAAGGGGGAAUUGUGCCUUUGCCAGCCUUGAGCAGACUGAAUGGACCUUGCUUUCCACACAGGACCUUAACACCUAAGUGAAGUCAUCUGCUUUGUUUACACUUACAACUUCCUACAGGACCUUAACACCUAGGUGAAGUCGGCAACUUUGUUUUUACACUUGCAACUUCCUACAAGAACUUAGAACAGACUGCUCUGCCUAUUUAGCCUGCUUUGCAACAUUAUCCAGCUGAAACAAAGGAUGGGUUAGGUAGGCUUCCUCUAUAUAAACCCAGUGCUGAAUAUUAAACCUUGAACCUUGAUCAG
Molecule: long non-coding RNA, 5139 nt
Organism: Arvicanthis niloticus (Nile rat)
Lineage: Eukaryota; Metazoa; Chordata; Mammalia; Rodentia; Muridae
Source: RefSeq, a predicted model, not a curated record